RNAcentral lists this ribosomal RNA (304 nucleotides) under uncultured bacterium. RNAcentral describes it as "bacterial SSU rRNA". It matches the Rfam family "Bacterial small subunit ribosomal RNA", at positions 28 to 334 of the family's 1533-position model. The record is from RNAcentral.
GACGAACGCUGGCGGCGUGCCUAACACAUGCAAGUCGAACGGGGUAAUCCUCCGGGAUUACUUAGUGGCGAACGGGUGAGUAACGCGUGAAGAACCUGCCUUUCAGUGGGGGACAACAGUUGGAAACGACUGCUAAUACCGCAUAAUGUAACGAGACCGCAUGAUCUUGUUACCAAAGCUUUAUGUGCUGAAAGAUGGCUUCGCGUCUGAUUAGCUAGUUGGUGAGGUAACGGCUCACCAAGGCGACGAUCAGUAGCCGGACUGAGAGGUUGAACGGCCACAUUGGGACUGAGAUACGGCCCAG